This 307-nucleotide long non-coding RNA is filed under the name Pan troglodytes (chimpanzee). RNAcentral describes it as "long non-coding RNA NONPTRT007554". The record is from RNAcentral. Lineage: Eukaryota; Metazoa; Chordata; Mammalia; Primates; Hominidae.
AAAUUGCACAUAUACUACCUCACAUGUGCAAAAUCAUGUAACAGCCUUUAGUGUCUGGAAUGUCUUCUAUUUUGCCCAUGAUUCCCAGCUCUUGUUGGGUACUAAGAUAAAUCUCAAUCUUGCCAAUGAAAGGAACCUAUGGUUUCUUUUUCAUCUACAGCAGCCUCUUUCUGCUUAGCUGAAGCUCUUUGGGAUGAAGUCACGAUGUUCAAAGUUCUAGCUCUCUGCCACAGCUGAAUUUCUUAUCGCUAAGGCCAUUGGUGACCAAAGCAAGAGUAGUGAAAUGGUUUCAGUAAAGGAGUGGGGA